UGCAAGUCGAACGGUGAAGCCAGCUUGCUUGGUGGAUCAGUGGCGAACGGGUGAGUAACACGUGAGCAACCUGCCCUGGACUCUGGGAUAAGCGCUGGAAACGGCGUCUAAUACUGGAUAUGAGCUCUCAUCGCAUGGUGGGGGUUGGAAAGAUUUUUUGGUCUGGGAUGGGCUCGCGGCCUAUCAGCUUGUUGGUGAGGUAAUGGCUCACCAAGGCGUCGACGGGUAGCCGGCCUGAGAGGGUGACCGGCCACACUGGGACUGAGACACGGCCCAGACUCCUACGGGAGGCAGCAGUGGGGAAUAUUGCACAAUGGGCGGAAGCCUGAUGCAGCAACGCCGCGUGAGGGAUGACGGCCUUCGGGUUGUAAACCUCUUUUAGCAAGGAAGAAGCUUUUGUGACGGUACUUGCAGAAAAAGCGCCGGCUAACUACGUGCCAGCAGCCGCGGUAAUACGUAGGGCGCAAGCGUUAUCCGGAAUUAUUGGGCGUAAAGAGCUCGUAGGCGGUUUGUCGCGUCUGCUGUGAAAUCCCGAGGCUCAACCUCGGGCCUGCAGUGGGUACGGGCAGACUAGAGUGCGGUAGGGGAGAUUGGAAUUCCUGGUGUAGCGGUGGAAUGCGCAGAUAUCAGGAGGAACACCGAUGGCGAAGGCAGAUCUCUGGGCCGUAACUGACGCUGAGGAGCGAAAGGGUGGGGAGCAAACAGGCUUAGAUACCCUGGUAGUCCACCCCGUAAACGUUGGGAACUAGUUGUGGGGUCCUUUCCACGGAUUCCGUGACGCAGCUAACGCAUUAAGUUCCCCGCCUGGGGAGUACGGCCGCAAGGCUAAAACUCAAAGGAAUUGACGGGGACCCGCACAAGCGGCGGAGCAUGCGGAUUAAUUCGAUGCAACGCGAAGAACCUUACCAAGGCUUGACAUACACGAGAACA
RNAcentral lists this ribosomal RNA (930 nucleotides) under Microbacterium sp. RAG-05. RNAcentral describes it as "bacterial SSU rRNA". It matches the Rfam family "Bacterial small subunit ribosomal RNA", at positions 56 to 998 of the family's 1533-position model. The record is from RNAcentral. Lineage: Bacteria; Bacillati; Actinomycetota; Actinomycetes; Micrococcales; Microbacteriaceae.